UGGGGAAUAUUGCACAAUGGGGGAAACCCUGAUGCAGCGACGCCGCGUGAAGGAAGAAGUAUCUCGGUAUGUAAACUUCUAUCAGCAGGGAAGAUAAUGACGGUACCUGACUAAGAAGCCCCGGCUAACUACGUGCCAGCACCCGCGGUAAUACGUAGGGGGCAAGCGUUAUCCGGAUUUACUGGGUGUAAAGGGAGCGUAGACGGCGUAUCAAGUCUGAUGUGAAAGGCAUGGGCUCAACCCGUGGACUGCAUUGGAAACUGGUAUGCUUGAGUGCCGGAGGGGUAAGCGGAAUUCCUAGUGUAGCGGUGAAAUGCGUAGAUAUUAGGAGGAACACCAGUGGCGAAGGCGGCUUACUGGACGGUAACUGACGUUGAGGCUCGAAAGCGUGGGGAGCAAACAGGA
RNAcentral lists this ribosomal RNA (405 nucleotides) under uncultured bacterium. RNAcentral describes it as "bacterial SSU rRNA". It matches the Rfam family "Bacterial small subunit ribosomal RNA", at positions 355 to 777 of the family's 1533-position model. The record is from RNAcentral.